This 501-nucleotide ribosomal RNA is filed under the name uncultured bacterium. RNAcentral describes it as "partial 16S ribosomal RNA". It matches the Rfam family "Bacterial small subunit ribosomal RNA", at positions 30 to 523 of the family's 1533-position model. The record is from RNAcentral.
AUUGAACGCUGGCGGCAGGCUUAACACAUGCAAGUCGAGCGGGGGAAGGUAGCUUGCUACCGGACCUAGCGGCGGACGGGUGAGUAAUGCUUAGGAAUCUGCCUAUUAGUGGGGGACAACAUCUCGAAAGGGAUGCUAAUACCGCAUACGUCCUACGGGAGAAAGCAGGGGAUCUUCGGACCUUGCGCUAAUAGAUGAGCCUAAGUCGGAUUAGCUAGUUGGUGGGGUAAAGGCCUACCAAGGCGACGAUCUGUAGCGGGUCUGAGAGGAUGAUCCGCCACACUGGGACUGAGACACGGCCCAGACUCCUACGGGAGGCAGCAGUGGGGAAUACUGGACAAUGGGGGGAAACCUGAUCCAGCCAUGCCGCGUGUGUGAAGAAGGCCUUAUGGUUGUAAAGCACUUUAAGCGAGGAGGAGGCUACUCUAGUUAAUACCUAGGGAUAGUGGACGUUACUCGCAGAAUAAGCACCGGCUAACUCUGUGCCAGCCGCCGCCGUAA